This 1405-nucleotide ribosomal RNA is filed under the name uncultured Bacilli bacterium. RNAcentral describes it as "bacterial SSU rRNA". It matches the Rfam family "Bacterial small subunit ribosomal RNA", at positions 27 to 1392 of the family's 1533-position model. The record is from RNAcentral. Lineage: Bacteria; Bacillati; Bacillota; Bacilli.
GGACGAACGCUGGCGGCGUGCCUAAUACAUGCAAGUCGAACGAGCUCUCCUAAAUUGAUUUUAUGCUUGCAUAAAUGAUUUUUAGAUUCGGAGCGAGUGGCGAACUGGUGAGUAACACGUGGGUAACCUGCCCCGAAGCGGGGGAUAACAUUUGGAAACAAAUGCUAAUACCGCAUAAUUAGUUGGAACCGCAUGGUUCCAACUUGAAAGAUGGCUCUGCUAUCACUUUGGGAUGGACCCGCGCCGUAUUAGUUAGUUGGUGAGAUAAAAGCCCACCAAGACGAUGAUACGUAGCCGACCUGAGAGGGUAAUCGGCCACAUUGGGACUGAGACACGGCCCAGACUCCUACGGGAGGCAGCAGUAGGGAAUCUUCCACAAUGGACGAAAGUCUGAUGGAGCAACGCCGCGUGAGUGAUGAAGGUUUUCGGAUCGUAAAACUCUGUUGUUAAAGAAGAACAAGUGUUAGAGUAACUGUUAACACUUUGACGGUAUUUAACCAGAAAGCCACGGCUAACUACGUGCCAGCAGCCGCGGUAAUACGUAGGUGGCAAGCGUUGUCCGGAUUUAUUGGCGUAAAGCGAGCGCAGGCGGUUUUGUAAGUCUGCUGUGAAAGCCCUCAGCUCAACUGAGGAAGUGCAGUGGAAACUACAAAACUUGAGUACAGAAGAGGAAAGUGGAACUCCAUGUGUAGCGGUGAAAUGCGUAGAUAUAUGGAAGAACACCAGUGGCGAAGGCGGCUUUCUGGUCUGUUACUGACGCUGAGGCUCGAAAGCAUGGGUAGCGAACAGGAUUAGAUACCCUGGUAGUCCAUGCCGUAAACGAUGAAUACUAGGUGUUGGAGGGUUUCCGCCCUUCAGUGCCGCAGCUAACGCAUUAAGUAUUCCGCCUGGGGAGUACGACCGCAAGGUUGAAACUCAAAGGAAUUGACGGGGGCCCGCACAAGUGGUGGAGCAUGUGGUUUAAUUCGAUGCUACGCGAAGAACCUUACCAGCUCUUGACAUCUUCUGCCAACCCAAGAGAUUGGGCGUUCCCUUCGGGGACAGAAUGACAGGUGGUGCAUGGUUGUCGUCAGCUCGUGUCGUGAGAUGUUGGGUUAAGUCCCGCAACGAGCGCAACCCUUAUUAUUAGUUGCCAGCAUUUAGUUGGGCACUCUAGUGAGACUGCCGGUGAUAAACCGGAGGAAGGUGGGGACGACGUCAAAUCAUCAUGCCCCUUAUGAGCUGGGCUACACACGUGCUACAAUGGAUGGUACAACGAGUCGCGAAACCGCGAGGUCAAGCUAAUCUCUUAAAGCCAUUCUCAGUUCGGAUUGCAGGCUGCAACUCGCCUGCAUGAAGUUGGAAUCACUAGUAAUCGUGGAUCAGCAUGCCACGGUGAAUACGUUCCCGGGCCUUGUACUCACCG